ACAUAUUAUCAUGACGUAUCACGAGAAAAUCGUCUAUCGCGUGCGCUGACGUCGCGAAGUCUCGUGACACCAGAAACGUCGAACACACCAGCUGUCUGUAGACGUCACAGGGAGCAGUAAGCGGAUCAGGGAGCAUCACAAGCCUGUCAGGGGGCGUCAGCGGGGGUUGGCUGUGUGGCAUCAGAGCUGAUUAUGCUGAUGCUGUGAGAGAAAAUACAGAUUCGUAAGGAGAAAACCAUUCAUCAGGCGCCAUUCGCCAGACGGGCUAUGCAUGUGUUCGGAAGGGCGAUCGGUGCAGGCCUCUAAAGUAGGAUGCCAGGCAAGGAAAGGAAGAUGUGUAACAACAGGAUUAAGCUAGGCAACACCAGGGUUAUCGCAGUCCAGUGGCAAUAAAACGUCGGCCAAGGUCAAGGAUGCAUGCAGGCAGGUCGACGGAGGGAUCAGGUGAACCUGCGGAAGGAUCAUUACAGAAAGUAAACGCGGGUCAUACCGCGAACUUCUAAACCUGGCGAGACGGUCUCACGUUGCCUCGGCGGGUUCGCCCGCCAGAGGAUACAUCAAAACUCCUGUUUUAAUACAUGUUGGUUGAGGUACAAGCAAAUAAUCAAACUUUUCAACAAACGGGAUCUCUUGGUUCUGGCAUCGAUGAAGAACGCAGCGAAAUGCGAUAAGUAGGUGAAUUGCAGAAUUCAGUGAAUCAUCGAAUCUUUGAACGCACAUUGCGCCCCUUGGCAUUCCGCAGGGCAUGCCUGUUCGAGCGUCAUUUCACCACUCAAGCCCGGCUUGGUGUUGGGCCUCGUCGGAGACGGGGGCCCUCCAAGUCACGGUCGGCGGCGUGGCGCCGGUAAUAAGAGUAGCAGAAUCCUUCGCUUGGAAAGUCGGAGCCCCGUCCGCCGGAAGACCUACUUGCAAGGUUGACCUCGGAUCAGGCAGGGAUACCCGCUGAACUUAAGCAUAUCAAUAAGCGGAGGA
Molecule: ribosomal RNA, 972 nt
Filed under: uncultured Cenococcum
Lineage: Eukaryota; Fungi; Ascomycota; Dothideomycetes; Gloniales; Gloniaceae
Description: eukaryotic LSU rRNA
Rfam family: 5.8S ribosomal RNA (bases 609-763)
Source: RNAcentral